AGGAGCAACAGCCCCAGUGGCGGGGCAGCUCUGGAAACCUGGAUUCAGCUCCGGCAGGAACUCCGUCUGCAGGGCCUGGAGGCUCCGGGGCGGG
Canis lupus familiaris (dog) is the source of this 94-nucleotide non-coding RNA. The record is from Rfam. NCBI's taxonomy places the organism in Eukaryota, Metazoa, Chordata, Mammalia, Carnivora, Canidae.